This 90-nucleotide transfer RNA is filed under the name Halogeometricum borinquense DSM 11551. RNAcentral describes it as "tRNA-Glu (TTC) (tRNA-Glu-TTC-2-1)". Lineage: Archaea; Methanobacteriati; Methanobacteriota; Halobacteria; Halobacteriales; Haloferacaceae. The record is from RNAcentral.
GGUUUGGAUGCCCUCGGAGGUGCCCUGCCGUUCGCUGAUAAAUGGCGGCCUUUCGAGCCGAGGACAGGGGUUCAAAUCCCCUACCGAGCA